AGACGUAGCCGCCCUGCGGAUCUCAGUCAUGGAAUAACCUGAUCUCCUUCCUGAAUUUUCCUUGUUAUAUCUGAGGGCGUUUGUGCUUCUGAGUGCAGGGAAGCUUGUGGAAAAAAGCUGCUGUGAGCAGAUCUGGCUUCUGCCUGCAACGUGAUCCCAGGGCUACGAAACUGCUGCUGCUUUUCCACUUGUCACCUGCAAGGUGAAGAUAGCCUGCUACCCAAACGGCAGUGUCCCUCUGAGCUGAGUGAGGAGCUGGAAAUCACUAGGGUUAGACAGCCUACAGCUGCGAGGUUGGCCUGCAGGAGUGGUGGCAGGGAGCGGGGUGGAGUCGCAGCUCUAUCAAGAAAGCAGGAACUGGCUGAGUUUGCAGAGUCUGAACGAUGAAGCAGGUGUCUACACGCUCUGGAGCCUGUCCUCAGCUGGCUUGAGCUGUAUCAACCCCAGCAGCAGAAAGCCGGGCUCACCUGGGAGCUUAGAUGGACUUUGGGUACCACUGCCAGCCGGAUCAUCCCCUACCACGCAACUGGAAGACACUGAUACAGCACAAAUCUGCAUUUAACCACUUCACUAACACAGGAUCGAUGUGCGCUGGUGUGAUUUGUGCAGACUGGGUCACAUCUCUCCAGGAAAAGCACCCCAAGGACCAGUGUGAAGUGAAACACAUCAUGGAGGUUACACUCAAGAAGUGAUUUGUUAAUUAAUCACUGCUGACUCCUGGAACACAGGGAAUGGAGCCCAUGUUCUGUUAGCACAGUGCCUGGAACUGAGGAUUGCAGGAACGCUAGAUAACACCCUAUCUUGUGUAUCUCGGGCUGUUCCAUAUGUCUAAUAGGAAAGUCAAAUGGCUUUAGUACAAACUCUUGCCUUCUGUGAAUGAGAAGAGAGGAGGAGCUCGGCCAACCUGCCUUAACUUCCCUCCAGGUGUGAUGCCAGCUGUGAGUGUUUCUUUGGCAGUGUCUUAGCUGGUUGUUGUGAACAAUAGUCAAGGAAGCAAUCAGCAAGUAUACUGCCCUAGAAGUGCUACACAUUGUUGGGCCUGCCUCAUUUCCCUGGCUCGAGAGGUGGAUGGGGAUCCAGGUUGGGAUGCUGCCCUGUGUUGCACUGGAGCUUGAAGUGUCUGCUGGAGCAGAGGGCCAAUGGCAGAAAUGCCACAGGAUGCUUGAUGAUGUGAUCAUUGCAUCGGAGGUGAGAGGAAGAGAAAAGAAGACAAAUGUGUUGCAAGUUGCUUUGCCCUUUCUUUGUCCUUCCCACAUGCAUCUUUCUGAGAGUAAAAUAGCUAUUGUAGUAACACUGCAAAAAUGCAACGCUGGGCAUUGGGAGAAGGGCCUGCUCAUAGGAAGAAUUCAUCCAAGCCCCAGUCUCUGGCUGGCAAUGACAAGCUAACCUGGCUUUGAACUUGGAAUGGGAGCAACUCGCCUGUAGUCACUGUUUCUCUUGGGUGCUGGUCAGCAGCUAAGCAUUGCAAAUACACGGAGUCAGGUGCCCAAACACUCGGCUGAAUUCCUGGGAAAGAAUUAGUUAGAUUUUAAUUAUGCAAUGAGACUUCUUACCUUGUCUGGCUAAGAGGGGGCCCUCCUAAAUAAGAGGUGUUUCUAGAAAGGACAAAUCCACAAUAUGGGGACAAAUCACCCCAACCUUGGAAGAAGGGAAGUCCUUGCCUACAUCUAGUUUAAUUUUCCAAUACUCACACACACAGAGGACAAGAGCUUACAUCAAUUUUGAUCAAACCAAGUUGCUUCUCUUUUUAUCUCUAUUGCUCUCGCUGAUUUGACGUAAACUGGGUGUCAUAAUCCAGGGUCAUAAUCCAGCUCUUAACCAAGCUAGCUAUGGCUCUGGUUGCCACAUUUCUGUAUGCCUUUCCUUUUUCCCCAGACAUGAACAUAAUUGCACCGGUUACAGGGAGUUGUUAACUGUCUGUACUCAGAAGGUAAUGGAUGGCCAGAAGGGAGCACAGCAUCCUUCUGUUGCCAGUCUUCUGAAACUUCACCUCUGCCUUUGCAGGGUGUUUGUCACAGAGCAGAUAUUUUGAGCUCAUGCAUCAGAUUUCCUGAUAAAAUACCACUGUUCUAUGGCUUUUUGCUUUCAGGUUUUUUCCUCUCUAUGGAGCCAAAGAUGACCAUCAGUUCCAAGCUUUUUGAGGAGACGCA
Long non-coding RNA from Pezoporus flaviventris, 2150 nucleotides. RefSeq lists it as uncharacterized. The record is from RefSeq and is a predicted model, not a curated record. The transcript has 6 exons. Lineage: Eukaryota; Metazoa; Chordata; Aves; Psittaciformes; Psittacidae.